This 450-nucleotide ribosomal RNA is filed under the name uncultured bacterium. Its description in RNAcentral is "bacterial SSU rRNA". It matches the Rfam family "Bacterial small subunit ribosomal RNA", at positions 354 to 796 of the family's 1533-position model. The record is from RNAcentral.
GUAGGGAAUCUUCCACAAUGGACGAAAGUCUGAUGGAGCAAUGCCGCGUGAGUGAAGAAGGGUUUCGGCUCGUAAAACUCUGUUGUUGAAGAAGAACGAACGUGAGAGUAACUGUUCACGUUGUGACGGUAUUCAACCAGAAAGCCACGGCUAACUACGUGCCAGCAGCCGCGGUAAUACGUAGGUGGCAAGCGUUGUCCGGAUUUAUUGGGCGUAAAGCGAGCGCAGGCGGUUUUUUAAGUCUGAUGUGAAAGCCUUCGGCUUAACCGGAGAAGUGCAUCGGAAACUGGGAGACUUGAGUGCAGAAGAGGACAGUGGAACUCCAUGUGUAGCGGUGGAAUGCGUAGAUAUAUGGAAGAACACCAGUGGCGAAGGCGGCUGUCUAGUCUGUAACUGACGCUGAGGCUCGAAAGCAUGGGUAGCAAACAGGAUUAGAAACCCCGGUAGUCC